AUUCAUCACAAUCAUAGGUUUUAACAAUAUCAAAUUCCUAAUUUCUUCAAUUCCAGUAAAAUCAUCGAAUUUCAUUUCUCACUUUGUUCUCGCAACUCCAAUUUCGUACAGAAAGCGGCGUACCAUUCUCUGGUUUUCUUUUAUUCGUCUGUUUCUCAUUCGUUUUCCGAGAUUUUUCUGUUUGAUUCUCAAGAAAUUUUAAGAAAAUAACCAAAUAAUGUUCUUUUAUUCAAUGUUUUUUUUCUAGAUGGUCCUCAUACAUAAUCGUUCGGGCUUCAUGGAGAUGAUACAUUGAUUUGGAUAAUUUUCUCUUGCAGGUAUCUAUUUUUUAUUUUUCUUUUCAGUGAUUAAACCAAUUUUGUUUGAUGGUGAAUUGACGGAAAUGACCUCGUCUUCUGUGUUCUUAAUCUUUGGUUAGAGUAGUCUCAUAAUCACGUCAUGUAUAAUUGUAUCAUGUAUUACGUGGACUAAUUUUUUAUGUACUAUAAUAGGUUUUGCAUUUGGGUGGAUUAAGUCGGGCACUGAGUUGCUGAUUUAAAUGGCCUUAUGUUGAUAUAAUCCCAAAAUUUAUGUGAUUAUUCUCAUUAUUUAGGAUUUUUUGAUUUUCUGGUAAUUGAUAAGCAAAACCAUGUGAGUGGUAAUGCAAAGUUCCGAAAAGGUAAACCUAUUUCAAUGCCGGAGCAAUUAGCAUCUGUCUUCCCAUAACUAGCUCUACCCGCCUGGAGUUAGAAAGCAAGAUGUUGCUUACUUCUUUCCAAUUUAACUGUAGGUUGUCAGUAGUCUUCAAGGAGAGAAAUGGCCACCCUUCAAGAUAUUGUUUACUCAGCUGCUAUUAAUCUUCUAUCUGCACUUGUAUUUCUACUGGCAUUUGCAAUAUUACGUCUUCAACCCAUUAAUGAUAGAGUUUACUUCCCAAAAUGGUAUCUUAAAGGGAUAAGAGCUAGCCCAAUACACUCUAGGGCAAUCGUAUCCAAAUUUGUAAACAUGGACUUGAAAACAUACAUCCGAUUUUUGAAUUGGAUGCCUGCAGCUUUGAGAAUGCCAGAACCUGAGCUUAUUGAUCACGCAGGGCUUGAUUCUGUGGUCUAUAUUCGGAUUUACCUUAUGGGCUUGAAAAUAUUUGUCCCCAUAACAUUACUUGCUUUUGCGGUUUUGGUGCCUGUCAAUUGGACUGGGGGGACACUGGAGCAAAUCAAGGAUCUUACGUUCAGUAAUAUUGACAAGCUGUCAAUAUCAAAUAUUCCACCUGGAUCCAAAAGGUAUGCCAUAAUUUGUAACCAGUUUCCCUCCAUCUUAAUUUCCUUAUUGAUGGAAUUUGUCUGCUUUCCAUUUCACAAGGAUAGUGAAUUAUUCUUCACUUAUCUUGUGGAAUGAUCAUGUGCCUUGAAUUAUGAAGAAUUGAAAAGUAGAAUGUAUGGAUUUCAAACAAGAAAAAUUGUGUUGGUAACAAAUUUAACCUUUGAAUUUAAGUUCUGUUGUGUUGCAGUGCUUCUGGACUUUAACUGCUAUAAUGCUCAGAAUAGAUUGAAGUUUUUUUGACUCGUGAAGAUGCAACCCGCAGUGGGAAUAUAAACUUUCUUCAAAAAAUAAGCGUGAAAUUUUUAUUAGAUAGAACAUCAACAGUCUCUAAAGGUUUCUUUGAAGUAGUUUCAAGUAAAUAUCAUGGAGUCAGCUGCUAGAAUGUUGGUUUUGACUCAAAUUAUACUAGCAAUAAUUUUAAAUUAUUAAUUGUACCAAUAUAUUUAGUUUUGGAAGGUUGAUUUAUUAUUAGUCUCAAUUUGCGGAGACAUGCUCCAUUCUAAUAGAAUCCUACAUGCCUUUCAAGGUUUUGUGCACAUGUUUUAAUGUCAUAUAUCUUCACCUUUUGGACAUUCUAUGUUAUCUACAAAGAGUACAAGACAACAGCUUUUAUGCGCUUGCAAUUUUUAGCUUCCGAAAGUCGUCGUCCUGACCAAUUCACUGUUCUUGUGAGAAAUGUUCCUCCAGAUCCUGAUGAAUCAGUCACCGAGCAUGUUGAGCAUUUCUUUUGUGUAAAUCAUCCUGAUCAUUAUCUUACUCAUCAGGUGGUGUACAAUGCAAAUAAGCUUGCAAACUUGGUUGCAAAGAAGAAGAGUCUGCAAAAUUGGUUGACAUACCACCAGAAUAAAUACGAGAGAAAUCCUUCUAGCAAGCCUACUACAAAGACAGGCUUCUGGGGUCUCUGGGGAACUAGGGUGGAUGCAAUUGACUACUAUACUGCGGAGAUUGGAAAACUUAGUGAAGAAGAAGAUAAAGAGAGAGAAAGGGUUAUAAAUGAUCCUAAUGCUGUAGUUCCAGCAGCAUUUGUUUCAUUCAAAUCUCGAUGGGGAGCAGCUGUCUGUGCCCAAACUCAGCAAACAAGUAACCCAACGAUUUGGUUGACUGAAAGGGCUCCUGAGCCCCGUGAUGUUUAUUGGGAUAAUCUUGCAAUACCAUACUUUGAACUCACUAUUCGACGACUACUUGUGGCAGUUGGUCUUUUUUUCCUAAUUUUCUUUUUCAUGCUUCCUAUAGCAUUUGUUCAGUCCCUGGCCAGCAUUGAGGGAAUAGAGAAGGUUUUUCCUUUCUUGAAACCUGUAAUAGAAAUGAAAUUUAUUAAGUCUUUAGUCCAAGGAAUUCUUCCAGGCAUUGCUCUGAAGAUAUUCCUUAUUGUACUUCCAAUAAUACUCAUUAUUAUGUCCAAAAUAGAAGGAUUUACAUCACUCUCAUCUUUGGAUAGGCGAUCAGCUGUGAAGUAUCAUUUGUUUCUACUUGUUAAUGUGUUUGUUGGCAGCAUUGUAACAGGAACAGCAAUGGAUCAGCUUAAAACUUUUCUUAAUCAGUCUGCAACAGAGAUUCCGAAAACCAUUGGAGUGUCAAUCCCACUAAAAGCCACCUUCUUCAUCACUUAUAUAAUGGUUGAUGGAUGGUCGGCAAUUGCAGCAGAGAUCCUCAGACUGGUACCCUUAGUCAUGUUCCAUUUGAAGAACACAUUUCUAGUUAAGACAGAGCAAGACAGGGAUCAAGCAAUGGAUCCUGGUUGCGUGGACUUUGCAACAUCUGAACCUCGAAUACAGUUUUAUUUCUUGCUGGGACUUGUUUAUGCUGCUGUGACACCCUUACUUCUUCCUUUCAUCAUCGUGUUCUUUGCUUUUUCUUAUACGGUAUUUCGUCAUCAGAUUAUUAAUGUAUAUAACCAAAAAUAUGAGAGUGGAGCUGCAUUCUGGCCAGAUGUCCAUCGGCGUUUGAUAAUUGGAUUGAUAAUAGCUCAACUUCUUUUGUUGGGAUUGAUGAGCACAAAGGAAGCUAGGGAAUUAACUCCGCUGCUUGUCGCACUUCCUAUUCUGACGAUUUGGUUUCAUGUAUUCUGCAAAGGACGUUUUGAAUCUGCAUUUGUAAAAUUCCCACUACAGGAUGCAAUGGUAAGGGAUACACUUGAACGAGCUACAGAUCCAAACCUAAACUUGAAAAUGUAUCUUCAGGAUGCAUACAUACACCCAGUUUUCAGGGGUGGUGAACUGGAGAGACCAGAGAUCAUCGAUGAAGAAGAAGACAAUCCGCUUGUUCCAACAACAAGGAAUUCUCAAAAGAGUCAAAGUAAAUAUAGUUCUGAUGUCAGUUCUGGAGCUGGUUCGUAAGACUAGGGUAAUAUUCUAAAAGUUACUCAAUUUUAAUUUGCUUUUUUGAAUCCAGUGCAUUUAUAUAUGCAUGUGCUUUUAGUUAAUGUGGAAGCAUUAAGCAAGAGGCUACGAGUCAUUUGCCAGAGACUCGCAUAAAUUGAAGACGUGAUAUGUAUAGCUUACUCUGCUUUUUAUGGAAAUUCUUUGGGUAGAAAAUUUGUUCACCUAGUGAUUGUAUGUGAAUAAUCAAAUUAAAUAUGUCACAUGCAAGAUCAUCUACCACAGGGCUUAUGGCUUGGAUGAACUGAAAUUGCUGUAAGAAUAAUAGGUCAGGUUUCGUUCCUGAGUUUUCAAAUGAAUUAAGAUUAAUGUCAUUUUAUGUGUUGAUCCUUAG
RNAcentral lists this unclassified non-coding RNA (4011 nucleotides) under Hevea brasiliensis (rubber tree). Lineage: Eukaryota; Viridiplantae; Streptophyta; Magnoliopsida; Malpighiales; Euphorbiaceae. The record is from RNAcentral.